UUGUUGCGCGUGACCAGCAAUGCGAACGCCGUGUGGAUAGGAUUCUUACUCAGAGUGGGUCCAGCUAUUUUUCCUCGGCGCCAGAAGGCUGCAGCCUGUCCGGAGCCGAGCUGACGACGAGGGGAAGUGACCAUCGUGGUUGCAAGGAUCGGUGUGUGUGCCGGAGCAUCGAAAACGACGCAUGAUCGUAUCCUUAGCCUGGUUUUGAAGCGUAGCUCCCCGUUUGACUCGUGCCUGUGCUUGGAUGUGGACCGGCUCCCCCAGUCUCCCCAUGUUACAGCUCCUCGAAGCGUGACUCGUGAGUGUGCCACCAGACGAUUGGUAUGGUUUUGUCUUCGGGUUGGCGCGUCAGUUGGUCGCAAAGUCAAUGGGCGAGUGAGACGUCGGCAUCUGAUUGCGAGAACGGGGAUCGUGGAGAUACCCUCUGAUGGGUCACUUCAUGAUGGUUCAUUACAGGCGAUUCCAAUGCCAGGUCGCUUGUGUAGCAGUCUGAAGAUUCAUAGUAAGCUCGCCAAUUGGUUGUAAAAUAAUCGUGUUUGCUCUCCUGCUCUUCCAUUCUCUGAUAUGUCUUCUGUGCUCUAUCUCAACGUUAAAAUGCAAAAAAACUCCUUUUGGUAGGUUUGUAAUGCAGAGGAGUCGGUGCUUGCUCGUUUUGGUGAAGCUUUUUGAUGGUCCAUGAAUGCGACAGUAGCUCCUAAACCAUUGCCGUGUGGUCGAACUCCUAAAUCUAGGAUAAAUUUCGGUACAGGUGUGUUUAUUUUUUCAAAAUUACUCAACCUAAUGGUGCGCGGGUUUUGAGCUCACCGAUUAGGAGUGUUGACAGAAAGCAGCAGUCCGGGAGCUCCUUGGUAAUGAAUCACAUUGUGAGCUCCAUCCCUCCUGUGGAGGAUUUCGAUUACGAUGCGGUGCUCAAUACUCACGCACGGGGUGCAAAGAGAAGUUGGAUGUCAAGGUUGCGCUUGUGUGCGUGUAUGUGUUACUUCUCGGUGGUCUUUUCAAUCCUGGCCGCAGCGCUCUCGACACAAUUCGUCAGGUGAGACAGCAACUGCGAGGGCAGGAAUAGUUCCAUUUCGAGAGUUCACGUUGCAGAAAGAUGUCAAGCAGUUACGAAAGCCAAUGCACACGUAGAAUCUACAGUGCAAGGAAUCGCAACUAGGUCAAACAACCCUCAACGUCGACGAGGAACUAAGCAACGUCAGCGAGCUGGUCUUGUUUUCCUGUGAAAUCUUGUAACAUACCUGGUUACAUCUGGGAAAGAAGUAACUGUAGUGCAAAUAACCUGGUGCGAUUUGUCCAGCUUUGCUUAAACAUACUCCAAAAUCACAAGUCUAGGCUUGUAGCCAAAUCAUCCGAAGAAA
This 1358-nucleotide long non-coding RNA is filed under the name Physcomitrium patens. RNAcentral's name for it is "long non-coding RNA (PPAT_LNC013430)". Lineage: Eukaryota; Viridiplantae; Streptophyta; Bryopsida; Funariales; Funariaceae. The record is from RNAcentral.